AACAUCUAAGUACCCCGAGGAAAAGAAAUCAACCGAGAUUCCGAAAGUAGCGGCGAGCGAAAUUGGACUAGCCCUUAAGCUUUACACGCGUUAGACGAACGGUCUGGAAAGUCCGACGAUACAGGGUGAUAGUCCCGUAGUUGACGACGUGUGUUCAGUGAAAUCGAGUAGGGCGGGACACGUGAUAUCCUGUCUGAAUAUGGGGGGACCAUCCUCCAAGGCUAAAUACUACUGACUGACCGAUAGUGAACCAGUACCGUGAGGGAAAGGCGAAAAGAACCCCUGUGAGGGGAGUGAAAUAGAACCUGAAACCGUGUACGUACAAGCAGUAGGAGCAGGCUUUGUCCUGUGACUGCGUACCUUUUGUAUAAUGGGUCAGCGACUUAUAUUCAGUGGCAAGGUUAACCAUCUAGGGGAGCCGUAGGGAAACCGAGUCUUAACUGGGCGUUCAGUCUCUGGAUAUAGACCCGAAACCAGGUGAUCUAGCCAUGGGCAGGUUGAAGGUUGAGUAACAUCAACUGGAGGACCGAACCGACUAAUGUUGAAAAAUUAGCGGAUGACUUGUGGCUAGGGGUGAAAGGCCAAUCAAACCUGGAGAUAGCUGGUUCUCCCCGAAAGCUAUUUAGGUAGCGCCUCGGACGAAUACUACUGGGGGUAGAGCACUGUUAAGGCUAGGGGGUCAUCCCGACUUACCAACCCUUUGCAAACUCCGAAUACCAGUAAGUACUAUCCGGGAGACACACGGCGGGUGCUAACGUCCGUCGUGGAGAGGGAAACAACCCAGACCGCCAGCUAAGGUCCCAAAUUACUACUAAGUGGGAAACGAUGUGGGAAGGCUCAGACAGCCAGGAUGUUGGCUUAGAAGCAGCCAUCAUUUAAAGAAAGCGUAAUAGCUCACUGGUCGAGUCGGCCUGCGCGGAAGAUGUAACGGGGCUAAGUAGUAAACCGAAGCUGCGGCAAUAUACUUUUGUAUAUUGGGUAGGGGAGCGUUCUGUAAGCGGUUGAAGGUGUGUGGUAACGCAUGCUGGACGUAUCAGAAGUGCGAAUGCUGACAUGAGUAACGAUAAAGGGGGUGAAAAACCUCCUCGCCGGAAGACCAAGGGUUCCUGUCCAACGUUAAUCGGGGCAGGGUAAGUCGACCCCUAAGGCGAGGCCGAAAGGCGUAGUCGAUGGGAAACGGGUUAAUAUUCCCGUACUUCUUACAAUUGCGAUGGGGGGACGGAGAAGGCUAGGUGGGCCUGGCGACGGUUGUC
RNAcentral lists this ribosomal RNA (1253 nucleotides) under Vibrio parahaemolyticus. Its description in RNAcentral is "partial 23S ribosomal RNA". It matches the Rfam family "Bacterial large subunit ribosomal RNA", at positions 197 to 1506 of the family's 2925-position model. The record is from RNAcentral. Lineage: Bacteria; Pseudomonadati; Pseudomonadota; Gammaproteobacteria; Vibrionales; Vibrionaceae.